RNA transcript from Juglans regia (Persian walnut), 1063 nucleotides. It is a transcript of the gene named ubiquinone biosynthesis protein COQ4 homolog, mitochondrial-like, with no coding region annotated. The transcript has 3 exons. The record is from RefSeq and is a predicted model, not a curated record. NCBI's taxonomy places the organism in Eukaryota, Viridiplantae, Streptophyta, Magnoliopsida, Fagales, Juglandaceae.
AGACCCAAACAAAAUUGGCGGUUUUGCCUGACGGAAUUUGCUCUCUCUCUCUCUCUCUCUCUCUCUCUCUCUCCCUGUGGGAAUUUUGUGUUCGUCUUUCAGCUGUCGAAAGAGUAGGUCGUAUUUUCUAUCCAGCCAACUACAGAAUUUGAUUGUGAGGUGGUAGUUGAGAUGAUAGAAGGUGGACGUAUCCGGCUUAAUAGGUGGCAGCAGGCGGCCAUUGCAGUUGGUUCGGCGGUUGGUGCAUUACUAGACCCACGAAGAGCAGAUCUAAUAGCAGCCCUUGGGGAGACUACUGGAAAGGCAGCUUUUGUAAGAGUGCUAGAAAGAAUGAAGAGAAGCCCAGAAGGCAGAGCAGUUUGAUCAACCAAGUGUGAUAUCUGUAAAUGUGGGGCAUGCGUGGGAACUACCACCGAACACAUUCGGGGCUGCCUAUGCAAACUUCAUGGGAUCCAGGAACUUCUCACCAGAUGAACGACCACCAGUGCGGUUCAUGGACACAGACGAACUGGCAUAUGUGGCCAUGCGGGCUCGUGAGGUGCAUGACUUAUGGCACACCCUUUUUGGCCUCCCCACCAACUUAAUUGGCGAGUCAGCACUCAAGGUGAUUGAGUUUAAUCAAAUGUACCUUCCCAUGUGCCUGCUGUCUGUUAUAGGAGGCACCGCAAGAUUCAAUGAGAAGCGGAGGAAAUUGUUCUUUCAGCACUACUUCCCGUGGGCCAUCCGGGCUGGCAUGCAAUGCACAGAUCUAAUGUGCAUAUACUAUGAACGGCACUUUCACGAGGAUUUGGAAGAUGUUAGGAGGAAAUGGGGGAUAAUUCCUGCUCCUCUUCCCCCUACACAAAAUGUUACUUGAGCAGCAGUAGGCUAGACAAUACACCAUGCUGGGUUUUUAAGUUGUCCCGCCGUAGUACUUGUGUUCUAGUAUGAAAUGAUUGGUGAGGCAAAACCUUAAACUAACACGCAUAGACAACCUCUUGUAUUUGUCUCGUAUACUUGGACUCUUGCCUAUUCUCAUGAUCAGUAAAGUUUUGUUUACCAAUUAAAAAAAAAGGAUUGGUGA